Long non-coding RNA from Rattus norvegicus (Norway rat), 3418 nucleotides. Ensembl lists it as uncharacterized. The record is from Ensembl. NCBI's taxonomy places the organism in Eukaryota, Metazoa, Chordata, Mammalia, Rodentia, Muridae.
CAAGGAUUGAGAGCUGAAGCUUCUGUAAGCUGAAUGGAAGAAAAUCCUUUCUCUGAAAAUGAUCUAGCAUGCAUUUUGGUCAUAGCAUCCUAAAAGCAAUACACAAGGAUUUUUAAAUCCAUGGCUAAAGCAGGAGGGACAGAACAAAUGAAGUGAUAUGAAGAAUCUUCUAUUGCUUUAUUGAAGAAAUCACUUUCUAAUUUGGGUCCAUCUCCAUCAUUACACAAACAUUAAAAAGGCCACUUGAGUCUGCAAAUCCGGCAGCGGCGGGGCUACGGUCAAGGACGACUCGCGGCGUCUAAGGACGUGUCCCCAGCUUCUCCGACCAGCAGAGUGUGAUGACAGGCUUCGUCCAUGGGCCAAGGAGCCUGAAAAUAGACCCCUGAAGCAAUGAAGGAAAGCACUGAAGAUGUUCAUGACAGUGAACUUCCGUGUGUGAUUCUAUAAUGAAACACACACAUCACCACCACCACUGCCACAGCCGCCGCCACAACAAUAACCACAACUACCACCAUCAUCACCACCCACCACCAUCACCACAACCACUGCCACUACCACAACAACCGCCACUACAACAACAACCACAGCCAUCACUAUCACCCCCAACAUCGCCACCUACAACACCACAAUCACCACCACCACCUCUUCAACCACCACCAUUGUGUUUGUCCGUCAGAUAGAAUGUUUGUCAAGGAUAAAACCUAAUGUGAACUGUAGACACAGAGUGAUUAUGUCAAUGGAGAUUCAUGUAUGCUAACCCGGUGAAAAUUAUUGACAAUGGCAGAGGCUAAGAAAGAGGGGGAGCAGAACAUAGAAAAGUACUUUCCUCUUAGAAUCACUGUGCAUCUUAAUGGCGCCUUUAAAUUUUAUAUGUAUAUUAGACAUAUAUAUAUACAUAUAUAUAUAGAGAGAUGAUAGAUAGAUAGAUAGAUAGAUAGAUAGAUGAUAGAUAGAUAGAUAGAUAGAUAGAUAGAUAGAUAGAUAGAUAGAUAGACAUGUGAAUGUCUUUGUAUCCUUUUCCCUUCCUCUCCAAACUCCUGAGACUAUUAAUUACUCUUUGUCAUCUAACUGAUCUUGCAUGCUAUGCAAGUUGUAAAUGUUCUGAACUCACUACUGGCUUUGGAUUACUUGGAAAGACUCUGGCCCCUUCCUACACAAAACUGGAGUAAUCUAGAAUGAUCUAGAAAAGACUCUACUUUCUACAUAGAAGUUUCCUGUCUAGUCUGCUUGGUCCUGAUGCCAUUGGAUGCUAGACACUUGCUAGUAAAUUCAUGUUCCUUGUGUACUUGCCUAUGGGUAAAUUUCAUACUUGUUUAUCUUUUAAGCUACAUCUGGUUGUUUCCUUAAGUUUUCAACAACAUAACCCUUUUUACCUGGCAAAGCUAUGCUAUAGACACUAUAUAAGUUAUGCUAUUGUUCUUUAGAUAUUUAAAAGAAAGCACAGAUUAAGUAACUUGCUUUUGUUCACACAGUUGGCAAGUAGUACGGCCUGGAUUUUAAUUUAGGAUAUCUUUCAGUACCUCGCUUGUCAUCAGUAUCCUACUUAGACUCUUCUAUGUGUUUUUGUUAGCUUUGAGCUGACAGUGAGUAGUCUCCAUUAUACAUGUUCUAACUUCUUAACCUUUUCAUAACCCUGCUGAGUACCUCUUCCUUUACAAAAUGCUGAUCUUUGCCCCUCAAUUAAUGUCUCAUUCUCAUUUAUGAUGGCUGUAGCCAAGUAUUUCAUGAUCCUUUACUCAACUGCUGAAUCUUUCUAAAUGUGUCCUUAAAUAUUAGUAGACUUACUGAGUUUUCAGCCAACUCUGUCUUGCUCUUAUGGGACACUGAUGCUUAACCUCUUAGAAUGAGCCAUUCUUGGCCCUGGAGUCCUCUUAAAGUGUCUUUGGGUUAAGCAUUCCUAUGUAACCUUUCUAUUAAAUUUACUGGCUCAUACCCAAGGUCUAUCAACUGCUGUGACCAGGUGGCUUUAAUCAGUGUCCCUGCCCUUAGCCUCCACUUUUCAUCUAACCUACUUGAAUUGUUGACUCUUCUCAUCAGAAUUUAUUCCCAGGCAAUGCGUAUUUCUUUCUAUCCUCUGUGUCCUUUUAAUAAGCAAUGUCUUUUGACUAUGGAUUCAAAUGCCCUGUAAGUUUGGAUGCACAGUUACUUUAUUUAAUCGGCUGUCACCAUUUUCAUAUUCCUUGUAGGUUUAGUUGUUUCUCCUCUCCCUCUACAUCUCCCUCUCUCUUUCUCUUCCUUCCCUAAUUUUUGUUGGUCUUUUAUUAAUAUUGGUUCUAUGUUCUCACCUGUAUAUUUAUGGUUUGGCUAUGAACUUUUAAUAUAAUGAUUAAGAUUUUGGAAAGAUGUACACCUCUGUCUUGUGUCUUAAUUUCUGAUUUCUGUCAUAUUAUGAAAGUUUAAUAAAAACUGAAUGACUCAAUGAACUGCAAACCUGAUUUUAGAUGUUUAAGGUAUAAUGUAGAGUACAAUUUAGAAUCAGGACCAUCAAGACAAUUAGUUAAGUUCCUCACUUUAAUAGGUAUAUAGUACAGUGUAAAAAUACAUUUUGUUUAUUUGUUUCAGAUUUAUACAUUAUAACCAACAGUGAUUGUAACACACAUUUAAUCUCAGAAUAGACUGCUAAACCCUCAGGGCAAGUUAGCUAUUACUAAAAACUGAAGCUUUAUUUGACAAGUAUAAAAAAAACCUAGCAAAUCCUAAGGGAAAUGCUUUUCAGGGCAUUGGAAAUACUUUAUGAACUAUUAAUGUUACGUUAGGUGUUAGGACUACCAACAGAUGGUCGACAGACAAAACAGUAAGCAAACAAACCUCAUCAUUGUUAUUUCUUCUUUAUAUUUUUACACCCCCUAGACAAUCUUGUUGAUACUUAAUUACCCAAUUCAUAUUGCUUUCCUAGCUCACAUGGGUCUUAUCUGGGUCUCUGGAAGCUUGGUCUGGACAUUGCCCUUCACUCUAUCCCUAGAAAACACUGAACCAACAUUAAAAAAAAAUAGUAGCUUUACAGGUUUUUUUUAUUUUAAAUUUUAGAUAGUGUUCAUAUUAGUUUUUAUAGCCUUGGUAAGCUAUUUUCUAAUACUUUUCUAUAUCUAGAGUACACAUAAUUUUAUGUACUGGGCAGGAUUAUUGGUGGGUGGGUUAAGUAGCCAAAGCUGUUGAGCAUGUAGUAAGUGCUCCAAUGUACGCUACUAUGUCUGGUAUAUGAUAGUUUAUCCCUGGUUAUCUAUGUAUUGCCAUCAGUAAUUGCUAUUCAAAUGGCUUCUAUGGUGCUUAAUAAAAUAACCUGCCUUUUUUGUCCCGUAUGGUUAUCUGUAUAACACAUUAUGUUAUGGAAAUGUAUUUCUUCAAUUUUCCAAAAAAAAAAAAUAAAGAAAAAGUUAUCCAUCAUAUAACUUGGGUCUUAAAAUUAAUUGAUCUGGAU